ACACCUGGGACGUGCACGGAAGGGCCGGGAUGCGGCUCCCUGGCCCAGCAGCAGCACCAAAAUGGCCACGCAGGGGUUCAGCAGCGUGGGGAGAAACAGGAGAGGGCGAAGGUGUUUCCUCUGCUUUCGGGUGCUUUCUGGACACCACUGCCGUGUUUUCCUCUCAACGGCUUCAUUCUUCUCCGAACCAACGCUUGGAUCCGACUUUCCCAUCAAGGGAUUUUAUGACAAAGGAGCUCGUCAGCAGGUUUCCACCUGUGGUGCUGACAAGGGGGCUGCUCGUGUCACCGAGCUGAGGAACACACUGCGCAUGUGCCACGUGAACCCCUGCAUUUGCUUUGCUAAAGCACAGCAGGAACAGACCCAGCAGCUAUAGAAACCACCAAAGGCUGAGAAGCAUUUUGUUAUGUUAAAAAGGGAACAAACUUACGCAGGUUAUAACACUUACUUUGCAUUUAUAGAGCAUCCUUCAUCCAAGGACAUCAAAGCACACUGCAAACGCAUUCCUGUGACAUGCUACAUGAAGGAGCAAAUAUAUCCACUGGAAAGCACUAUUUAUGGUUUAACGAUGUUCUGUGAGCUUCCCAACUUCAUGCACCAGAUCCACAACAGAGCUUGCAGCAGCAAACCCAUCGCUGUGUCCCUCCUGCCAUCUCUCUCCAGCUGCUGGGCUCUGGCUUCUCCCUCCGGGGCUGUCCCAGGGCUCCGAGCACCACUGGCUCCUCUUGGCCAACCCUCCCAGUGCAUUGGCUGGGUUGCCCGGCUCCACCCGCACUCAGGGUGCUCCGUUUGUUUUCCUUGUGAUGAAGUUCUUCUGCCCGUUGAGUCCUUGAAGUUGGUGGCAAGCAGAAAGCUUUCUUUCUUUUUUUGAAGAGCUGCCAAAUGACAUCAGGCUGCUCAGCUCCCUAUAGCAAUGAGCUGUGAGACGCGCACCCUAGGCGAGAAGCAGGGAUAUGUGCCUUUCCCCCUCAGCAUGGGGAGCCAGGAGCUGCCUUCCUGGAGCCCAGCGUGGCACUACAUGUGCUCAUGGCUCCUUCUCCUGCUUCCGCUGGGAAGUUUUCCAUUUAACCCCAACAGGUCUGCGGGAACCGGCUCUCAGCACACCAGCAGCAUUGCUUGGCAGGGAUGGGCAGUUUGGUUUGAAAAGCAAAGCAAAACAAACACAACAGGCUCCAACCUGUGUUCUGCUGCCUGCAAUAACCCAAAAGGGUUUGCUCUGGGGUCAAGGCAGCCAGCAGGACCUUCUGCAUGGGCGCUUGCAGAAGGGCUGCAGAGGCAGCUGCUGGUCCUUCCCCAUGGCUGUGGGUAACAAAGAAGCCCCACGGCAUGCAGGUGAUGAGCAGAAGGAUGUCCCUUGCCCAGGUGACCGUAAUUCAGGUAAAACAACCUCUCAUUUGUUGCCAAUUCCCAGCUGCAGGCUGCCAGAGUCGGGCUGGCAAAGCCUGGCCAUGAGGCUGUGAUGCUUGGGAACGAGGAAAAAUAACGGAAAAAGGGAUUUUCAGAUACAUUUGGCUUUCUAAGGAGAAAGGCCUGCAGAAAAUGUUAACUCACUGGAAAAGUAAAACUGCUCUGUCUGCACUUUGCUUUUGUACAAAAGGUCAGCAUUUUCCAGGAAAAAAAAAAACACCAAAAAGCUCCUCCUCCAUUCAGUUCUGGUUCAAAGCAUGCACAGGCCUUAGAGCCAUGAGCCCUCUGCAGAGCCACUGCAGCCAAGGGGCUGAUCCCGACCCCUGGGCAUAGGUGGACAGCUAUCCCCUGACCUUCCAGGCUCUGCAGCACGAGCUGCACCACAUAAUUGCUUUUUUUAUUAAAGACUUGUGCUGUA
Long non-coding RNA from Gallus gallus (chicken), 1825 nucleotides. RefSeq lists it as uncharacterized. The record is from RefSeq and is a predicted model, not a curated record. The transcript is spliced from 2 exons. NCBI's taxonomy places the organism in Eukaryota, Metazoa, Chordata, Aves, Galliformes, Phasianidae.